AUAUAACCUACACCAACAUAAAAGAAGAAUCAGCUGAUUGCUGAAAACAUUUAACAUUUUUAUGUGUGGUGUGAUGAAAACUAAAAUGUUAUCACUACCUGCAUUUAUAAAUAAACAUUGAGGUUUUCCUAAAAGUAUGAAUAGAUAAAACUUUAAAAUAUGGAAUUUGGGUGUUGGUACUUUCUCAUUUUUAAUUUAUCGUUAGUACUUAUACAUUAUGCUACAGGUUUAACAGGCACCUUACAUAAAAAUAUAAAAUACUAUGAGACUAUCCACUCUGACCAACUAACCCAUAAACUAGUCAAGAGGGGUGUCAAGGAAAGUACUCACCCUUACAAUCAAAUAAAGGAGGUGAACUUACGAACUCACGGUAGAGAUUUCCGGCUGAUUCUUUCACCAAAACGAGACAUUUUGCAUUCCAAUUUUAAAGCUUAUGCUGUAGAUGGUGAUGGCAAGGAAACAAGUGUUCAUAUAAAUCGUGAUGAUUUCUAUCAUGGAAGAAUGUUUGGAGAAACAGAUUCACAUGUUAGUAUGCACAUGGAUGAUGGUAUGUUAACUGGUAGCAUACAUCUACCUGAUGAGACAUUUCACAUAGAACCAUCUUGGAGACAUUUGCCUCAUUUUAAUAACCGAACGAUGAUUGUUUACAAACAGUCUGAUAUUAAAUUUAGUUGGGACGCUCAAGAAUCUCCUGAACACCCACCGAGACACAAGGUUUGUGAUUAUGUUAAAGAAGGUGCUGAACUAGAGAGUGACGAAGAUAUUGUAGAUGAAGAUGAAGAGCUUGAGAAGCAUAUAAGGGAAAAGAGACAGAUCGACCAAUAUGAGUACACUCCAACCAAGACUAGAUGCCCUCUACUACUUGUAGCUGAUUACAGAUUUUUCCAAGAGAUGGGUGGGAGUAAUACUAAAACCACUAUAAAUUAUUUAAUUAGCCUUAUUGAUCGUGUUCACAAAAUAUACAAUGACACGAGUUGGCAAGACCGACAAGAAGUAGACGGCUUCAAAGGUAUGGGAUUUGUAAUUAAGAAAAUUGUUGUUCACAGUGAUCCGACUCGAAUAAAAUCUGGCGAAGCUCACUAUAAUAUGUUUAGAGAUAAGUGGGAUGUCAGAAAUUUACUAGAGAGUACUUUAAAAACGGCUACACGUUGUACUUAAACUCUGGUCUUAGCUCCAGUAGAAAUCACUACGGUCAAAGAGUUAUUACCAGAGAAGCUGAUUUGGUAACUGCCCACGAAUUUGGGCAUAACUGGGGAUCAGAACACGACCCCGAUAUCCCAGAAUGUUCUCCGAGUGCUAGUCAAGGGGGCUCCUAUCUUAUGUAUACUUAUAGUGUUAGCGGAUACGAUGUAAAUAAUAAAAAAUUUUCCCCAUGUAGUUUAAGAUCUAUCAGAAAGGUUCUGCAGGCUAAGUCUGGCAAGUGCUUCUCAGAACCCGAAGAAAGUUUCUGUGGUAAUCUAAGAGUUGAAGGAGAUGAAGAAUGCGAUGCCGGUCUAUUAGGAACCGAAGAUAAUGACGCG
RNAcentral lists this unclassified non-coding RNA (1520 nucleotides) under Diabrotica virgifera virgifera (western corn rootworm). Its description in RNAcentral is "aDAM 17-like protease". The record is from RNAcentral. Lineage: Eukaryota; Metazoa; Arthropoda; Insecta; Coleoptera; Chrysomelidae.